CCUUCUCCAGGCCGCUGCCGCUGUCUAUGCACGACGCAACCGACAAGCCCCAAGCGACUUCCCCAACAAAACCGUAGGCUUCAGCUCCUCACCGCCAGCAGCCGUUGACUCCCACUUCCCCGCCUGCACCAACCACGGUUCAUUCACUCGCGCCUACGUCCACGCCAAUACGAAUCAAUCAAACGAGUCGAGGAAUUUCCCUCCGGAUGUAGAGAGGAUUAGGGUUCAGGGCAUCGGAGGCGACGUGACCUCGGCGUCAGGCAAUGCGGUUAGGGAAUUUCUCUGCCGGAUUCGAGGGAUUAGGUGUUGGGCGCUGCAUGGAUGCUACUGCCAGAGAAGUGUUUGGUCUUGGUGAGGUUGCAAAAGCACGUGAAGUGGAAACAAAGUUGUCUGCUGCCACUUCUCAUCUGAUGGCAAACUGUUUGCUACUGGUGGUCUUGAUAAAAAGGCGUGUUUAUCAGCACAAAACCAUGAUCUCACCAGUUUUAGAGAAGCUUAAAUUAUUCACCUGCUCCUACUCUGUACAGGUUGUUUUGUGGUGUAGAGCCUUUUAAGCCUAAAUCUUCACUAGAAGAGCACUCGUUUCUGAUCACUCAUGUUAGAUUUAGCCCAAGCACGUCGCGCCUCGCUACAUCCUCCUUUGACAAAACUGUGCGGAUUUGGGAUGCUGACAAUACUGACCAUUCACUCCGUACCUUUACGGGCCAUUCAACACAUAAUAUCUCUUGAUUUUCACCCAAGCAAAGAAGAUAUGAUUUGCUCCUGUGAUGGUGAUGGGGAAGUGCGCAGCUGGAGCAUAAAUCACGGUAGCUGUUUGAGCUGUGUUAAGGUCUUUGAGGUAUGUAGCAAUAGCUU
Molecule: long non-coding RNA, 855 nt
Organism: Phragmites australis (common reed)
Lineage: Eukaryota; Viridiplantae; Streptophyta; Magnoliopsida; Poales; Poaceae
Exons: 3
Source: RefSeq, a predicted model, not a curated record